UUUAAAUUGAGAGUUUGAUCCUGGCUCAGGAUGAACGCUGGUGGCGUGCCUAAUACAUGCAAGUCGUACGCUAGCCGCUGAAUUGAUCCUUCGGGUGAAGUGAGGCAAUGACUAGAGUGGCGAACUGGUGAGUAACACGUAAGAAACCUGCCCUUUAGUGGGGGAUAACAUUUGGAAACAGAUGCUAAUACCGCGUAACAACAAAUCACACAUGUGAUCUGUUUGAAAGGUCCUUUUGGAUCGCUAGAGGAUGGUCUUGCGGCGUAUUAGCUUGUUGGUAGGGUAGAAGCCUACCAAGGCAAUGAUGCGUAGCCGAGUUGAGAGACUGGCCGGCCACAUUGGGACUGAGACACUGCCCAAACUCCUACGGGAGGCUGCAGUAGGGAAUUUUCCGCAAUGCACGAAAGUGUGACGGAGCGACGCCGCGUGUGUGAUGAAGGCUUUCGGGUCGUAAAGCACUGUUGUAAGGGAAGAAUAACUGAAUUCAGAGAAAGUUUUCAGCUUGACGGUACCUUACCAGAAAGGGAUGGCUAAAUACGUGCCAGCAGCCGCGGUAAUA
This 559-nucleotide ribosomal RNA is filed under the name Oenococcus oeni. RNAcentral's name for it is "bacterial SSU rRNA". It matches the Rfam family "Bacterial small subunit ribosomal RNA", at positions 1 to 525 of the family's 1533-position model. The record is from RNAcentral. Lineage: Bacteria; Bacillati; Bacillota; Bacilli; Lactobacillales; Lactobacillaceae.